AUUGAACGCUGGCGGCAUGCCUUACACAUGCAAGUCGAACGGCAGCACGGGAGCAAUCCUGGUGGCGAGUGGCGAACGGGUGAGUAAUACAUCGGAACGUGCCCGGUAGUGGGGGAUAACUACGCGAAAGCGUCGCUAAUACCGCAUACGCUGUGAGCAGGAAAGCGGGGGAUCGCAAGAACUCGCUCUAUUGGAGCGGCAGAUGUCAGAUUAGCCAGUUGGUGGGGUAUAAGCGCACCAAGGCGACGAUCUGUAGAUGGUCUGAGAGGACGACCAGCCACACUGGGACUGAGACACGGCCCAGACUCCUACGGGAGGCAGCAGUGGGGAAUUUUGGACAAUGGGGGCGACCCUGAUCCAGCCAUGCCGCGUGUGCGAAGAAGGCCUUCGGGUUGUAAAGCACUUUUGGCAGGAACGAAACGGUUUGCGUUAAUACCGCGAACUAAUGACGGUACCUGCAGAAUAAGCACCGGCUAACUACGUGCCAGCCGCCGCAGUAA
RNAcentral lists this ribosomal RNA (500 nucleotides) under uncultured bacterium. RNAcentral's name for it is "partial 16S ribosomal RNA". It matches the Rfam family "Bacterial small subunit ribosomal RNA", at positions 29 to 523 of the family's 1533-position model. The record is from RNAcentral.